Molecule: long non-coding RNA, 383 nt
Organism: Sinocyclocheilus grahami
Lineage: Eukaryota; Metazoa; Chordata; Actinopteri; Cypriniformes; Cyprinidae
Exons: 3
Source: RefSeq, a predicted model, not a curated record
UGGAUCUUUUCCCAGUAAUCAGAUAUCAUCUGAGAGAAGUGACCCUCGAGUCCAGCAAUCUUGGAAUUCUGAUCGUGCAAAACAAGCUUCAUUCUUUCUCUUCUCCCCCAAAGAGAUUUAUAUAUUGUGUUCUGUGCAAGCAAUCCAGUGCGGUUCAUUGUUCCCAGCAGAGUCUCUCUGUUUCCUCCUCUACACAUACCCGGAGACAGGAGAGCCAAUCAGAGAGAGCGAGGGAGGGGCCUCUGCACCAUAUGUUGAGCCAAGCUGGUUUCCUGAACAACCACACAGCUCUAGUCCGGAUGUCUCAUGUCACACAAUUCUCUCUGCACUAGGCCAGCUGUGCCCUUUCCUGCCCUCUUGGCUUCUCCCCUUGUUUUGCAAUA